Molecule: ribosomal RNA, 91 nt
Filed under: uncultured bacterium
Lineage: Bacteria
Description: partial 16S ribosomal RNA
Source: RNAcentral
CACCGCCCGUCACACCAUGGAGUCAGUUGCUCUAGAAGUCGGUGCGCCAACCUCGGAAGGCAGCGCCUAAGAGUGACUGGUGACUGGGGUG